RNAcentral lists this ribosomal RNA (251 nucleotides) under uncultured eukaryote. RNAcentral describes it as "partial small subunit ribosomal RNA". It matches the Rfam family "Eukaryotic small subunit ribosomal RNA", at positions 587 to 840 of the family's 1831-position model. The record is from RNAcentral.
AGCUCCAAUAGCGUAUACUAAAGUUGUUGCAGUUAAAAAGCUCGUAGUUGGAUUUCUGCGGGGGUGGGGCGCCCUGGGCUUUUAGUCUAUGGAGCAGCAACUCCUCCGCAUCCUGCCGCGAACCACGCUACCAUUCGUUUGGUGGCGUCUGGGGACCGGCUCGUUUACUUUGAGAAAAUAGAGUGUUCAAAGCAGGCCUGAUGCCUUGAAUAAUGUAGCAUGGAAUAAUGAUAAAGGACUUUGGUUCUAUU